RNAcentral lists this ribosomal RNA (509 nucleotides) under uncultured bacterium. RNAcentral's name for it is "bacterial SSU rRNA". It matches the Rfam family "Bacterial small subunit ribosomal RNA", at positions 28 to 526 of the family's 1533-position model. The record is from RNAcentral.
GACGAACGCUGGCGGCGUGCCUAACACAUGCAAGUUGAGCGACGAACCAGGGCUUGCCCUGGGGCAAAGCAGCGAACGGGUGAGUAACACGUGGAUAACCUGCCCCGAAUACUGGGACAACCCGAGGAAACUCGGGCUAAUACCGGAUGUGCUCGUCAGACAUCAGUCAGGCGAGGAAAGGAAGCUUCGGCCUCCGAUUCGGGAGGGGUCCGCGGCCCAUUAGCUAGUUGGUGAGGUAACGGCUUACCAAGGCUUCGAUGGGUAGCUGGUCUGAGAGGACGAUCAGCCACACUGGGACUGAGACACGGCCCAGACUCCUACGGGAGGCAGCAGUGGGGAAUCUUGCGCAAUGCGCGAAAGCGUGACGCAGCAACGCCGCGUGGGGGAAGAAGGCCUUCGGGUUGUAAACCCCUUUCAGGAGGGACGAAGGUGCGGCAGUUAAUAGCUGUCCGUACUGACGGUACCUCCAGAAGAAGCUCCGGCUAACUACGUGCCAGCCGCCGUAACAC